UUGUUCUCAUGUGACUGGUGAGGCAAGUGAGGUCUAGUGCACAGCCCGUGCCCCUCACGGCGGCGUGGGAAGAGUUCAACAGAGGCGACGCGGCGGAGCUGGAGGGUGCACCAGGCAGGUGGUUAGUUUCCUCCAAUGCCUGCCAGCUGUAUUAUGAAUGCUUCUCGUAUUAUUUUCAUUCGAGGGCCAGCUGGAAAGGGCGCCAGACCCGUCAUCCUCACCACCUUGGUCAAGUCGUUCCUUUUCGUUUCCCACAGUCUCUCCUGCUUCCUCUCCUCCGGCCUUGCCUGUCUGCAGGAAGCAAGUGCUGUCGGGGCUGUCUCCUCAUCUAAAUCUUUUCAGGAUCUGACAGGAGUUGGCCAAAUGCACCUCCACCAGGAAGUCCUCCUGACUUGCGCGGGUCUCCCUGAAACCUCCAGCCACCCAAAGCCUGGAGCAGUUACAGCCAGGGAUACACCAUCAGCGUGUGUGGGUCUGGGGUGGGGGCGGGUGAGAGGUUGGCCCCAUGGUGAGGGGGUCCGCGGCACGCCCGGGCUAGGGCCUGAGACAAGCCAGCAUCUGAGAGCAGCCUCUGCUUAACUGUGUCUGCAUACCUGCUCCCUGAGACCGUGUAUGUGCAUGGCUAUGAGUGUGCGUGGAAAGAGUGUGCACAGCAAUGGGAGCUGGGCGCUGGGCUGCUGUGUAUCCAUGUGCCUUGGUCUAUAGGCUUUUAUGCACCUCAGAGCAAGUCUGUGGAGCCUCUUCUGCCCGGGUGACUGGGGAGGCAGGUGGAGAGCUAAGGAAUUCUCUGAGUCCACAGCUCUGGGGGUCUCACUGUGUCAGUGGGGGUGCCUGGCUCUGCCAGUUUGUGUGUGUGGAGCUGUGUGCCUGUCGGGAGCUGUGUCGCUUGAUGUGUGCAUACCUCUGUGAUGUGUGAGCACGACAGUGUGUGUCUGUCUCUGUGUGUGACCGUAGGUUUGCUGAGUUAGCCGUGUGUCUGGGUAGACAGAGGAGAGAGGUGUGUGCGGGUACAGCCGUGUUGCCUGCCUGGCUCUGUCUUUCUGUCUCUGGGGUUUGGAUUCUGCAAACCAUGCCUCCUCUUCUGCACCCCUGACACAUAGGUGCACCCCACCCCUAGGAGGACCCAGGGUCACCAGCUCAGCCUGGUUCCUCUCUGGAAGAGGCAGGAAGAAGAGGGAGGCCACACUGUUUCUUAACACCUGGAGCCAGGCCCCAACAUCCAGGGACCGCCUCCCUGCCUGUCACCUGGCCGGCAGCAUCAUCCCUCUUCAAUCAAGGCGAUGGCCAGGGAAGAGGGAGGCCCAGAUACCCCCUCCAGCAGGCCUCCAGGACUGCUCAGAAGGGAGCGGGCCCAGUCAGCCAGUAGCACUCAGUACUCAAUGCUGGGCAUGUCGGAGUCAGAAGUUACGAACCAGCGGGGCUCUACCCUCAGAGUCGCAGUCAUGGCCACAGAACACACCCCCUCCUCCUGUGCCUCUGAAACUCACAGACCUUUCUUUUAGAGCCAGAGCCUUGGCAUCACCCAGGGGCCACCUGAAAAUGCAAAAGACUGCACCAGAUGUGCACUGUAACCAGAGUCCCCGGCUGAUUUGUGAUAACAGUAACAGCUGAGAAGCCCUGCUCUCAGGCGGAACCUCCCUGCGCCCCGGUUUCCUACUCUCUACAACGGGGACAACAGCAGAAGCGACUUACAGGGCCGACACAGCGUGAGGGUGAAUGGGGAUAAGGCCCGGGAAAGCUCUGAGCGGAGCUAAGCCUUUAUCUACAGAACCCUCCUCCUCAUUUUUAUGAAUAAAAUUCAGAACCAGAAAGAA
Phacochoerus africanus (Common warthog) is the source of this 1814-nucleotide long non-coding RNA. RefSeq lists it as uncharacterized. NCBI's taxonomy places the organism in Eukaryota, Metazoa, Chordata, Mammalia, Artiodactyla, Suidae. The record is from RefSeq and is a predicted model, not a curated record. The transcript is spliced from 2 exons.